AAAGGUACAGGGAGUGAAUGAUCCAGAGACAUCAACAUAAAUAAUGAACGAAUCACGGAACAAUAACAAAAACACGACUACGAAUCUUCUUGGUUCUUUUUUUAUUCGUUUCUUUGUUUUUUCUUGCUGUUCGUGACAAUACUCAGAUUUUCAUCAUGACAGAUCAGAUAGAUGUCUUGGUACUAUUCGUAGAUAACUUGUUGGAAUAUAGUAUGUAUCAAUUCACAAAACAGGAAAAACAAAGAGAGA
This 249-nucleotide non-coding RNA is filed under the name Fragilariopsis kerguelensis. The record is from RNAcentral. Lineage: Eukaryota; Bacillariophyta; Bacillariophyceae; Bacillariales; Bacillariaceae.